GCUUGACUGUAGCUUGUAAUUGGGUUCGGGCUUUUUUGCGCAGCCUAGGUGGGAGGCAACGAUGAUUUUUUUCCGGAAAAUUUGAGCCGUUAGUGAGAGACCACUCUGAAAAGGCUAGAAUCCUAAUAAUGAUCCUUGAAUCAGGACAUUUGACAGUUGCAGGUGGGCAGUUUUACUGGGGCGGUAUUCUCCUAAAAAGUAACGGAGGGGUGCAAAGGUUCCCUCAAGCUGGACGGAAAUCAGCUUAAGAGUGUAAAGGCAAAAGGGAGCUUGACUGCAAGACCUACAAGUCGAGCAGGGGCGAAAGCCGGCCUUAGUGAUCCGACGGUACCACGUGGAAGGGCCGUCGCUCAACGGAUAAAAGUUA
RNAcentral lists this ribosomal RNA (367 nucleotides) under uncultured alga. Its description in RNAcentral is "bacterial LSU rRNA". It matches the Rfam family "Bacterial large subunit ribosomal RNA", at positions 2098 to 2465 of the family's 2925-position model. The record is from RNAcentral.